Salvia miltiorrhiza (redroot sage) is the source of this 1936-nucleotide long non-coding RNA. RefSeq lists it as uncharacterized. The transcript is spliced from 3 exons. NCBI's taxonomy places the organism in Eukaryota, Viridiplantae, Streptophyta, Magnoliopsida, Lamiales, Lamiaceae. The record is from RefSeq and is a predicted model, not a curated record.
CAAUACAACAACAAAUUCCUUUCUUCUCAGCAAUUCAACUCUAUUCUCUCGAUUUUCACGUUCAACACUAGAUACUUAUGAGAUGCCCGGGAACUUCCUUCUGUAAUGUCAUGAAUGGUUUCGCUGAUUUGCAAUGAUUGAGCAUAUGAUACUGAUAGAAGUGAGGUAGAAAGCAUGAGGGCAACCGAUUUUUGAGUAAAUAAUAAUAAUCUAUCCAGGCACCUGAUAUUUCAUUUAUUUUGUCAAUCCAACCAUCUGAAAUCUUGCAUUCAAUUUGAAGUUUCCGGUUAAUUGAUCAAAAUUCACAACUCCAUCUGUUGGUUUGCAGGUAUAUUUUGAUUUAUCCUCAAGGUUGUGAUGUCUGCAAUGACCUCUCUUUGUUUCUUUGUGUCUCCAAUCAUGACAAGCUUCUGCCAGGAAUGAUGACUGUCCAUGGAACCAUGAUUCUUGCUAGCGUCUAUAAUUUGAAGUAAUUACUAUUGAGUUUUUUUUAUAAAGGUUGGAGUCAUUUUGCACAGUUCACUAUUGCCGUGGUGAACAAAGAUCCUAAAAAGUCGAAAUAUUCCGGUAGGUGACAAUUAUUAUAGCUAUUAUAUAACAUUGGUUUUCAUCAUGUUUUCUUAUCUAGAGUUUCACCCCAAUCUCUAAGUUACCUAUCUUGACAUGCUUCUGUAAACCUGAUGAUACAUUACAUCGUUUCUGGAAAAAUGAGCAUGACUGGGGAUGGAAGAAAUUUAUGGAGCUAUUAAAUGUGUUGGAUGGAUUUAUUGAUGCUGAUAAUUUGAUAAUCAAAGCUCAAGUGCAAGUUAUAAGGUAUUCCCCUUAACUUAGUAUAUUUUGUGUGUGUAUGUGUGUGUGUGUGUGUAAUUUAGGCAUCUAACUGCUAUAAAUUAAUAUAGUUGACAAAAUGGCUUCUUUCGAGUUUCUGAGAGAUAUGGUUUUGCUGAUUUUUCCAACUGGCAUUUCCUUAUGCAAGUUUGUUGAUUUGUUGACAGAAAGUUUUGAUAGGCGAAUCAUUUCUUCAGGCCUAUUAGUGGGGCCAAAUACCGAUUUGGAUCAGUGUACACUUGGAUAAUAGUAAUACACAUUGAUUGGGUCAGUUAAUUUCUGUAAUGUUUUCUCUAAACCUUAAUAUUAAUAUUAAUUUCAGGGAAAGGGCAGAUUUCGUUGAAAUGAUUGUCUGUAUAGGAGGGAACUUGUACGGGUAUAUCUGACAAAUGUAGAACAAAUAUGCCGGAGUUUUGUGGAAGUGCGUCGAGGGAAACUUGGGAAUCUAAUAGAAGAGAAAGCUAGAUGGUCCAAGUAUAGUCGAUACAAUGGGUCAUCUUCAUUUUGAAUAUCAUUUUUAAUUUUAAUUUUUAUGUCAUGCUAUAGAGAUUUAAUAAACUUUCUAUGAUUAUUAUUCAAAUAACUUUAUUAUUAAAAUUUAAAAAUAUUGUUCAUUUUUUAUGAUUUUUUUGCAAGUAAAAUAGGUGGAAUUAAAAAGAUCUUUUUCUCUGCGGGUGGCGGGCAUUUGCAGGUUGCGGAAUGUCAACGUCGAGAAGCAACAACACCCCUACCUCUCAAGCCUCGGCGGGUAUCCGAUGGGUAGUGGGUGGUGGGUAUCCGACAGGUUGCAGAUAUUAGCGGGUUGCGGAUAUGGAUGGCAAAUAAUAGUGGGUGGCAAAUAAUUUUUUCGAAUAUACAUUUCGCCUCAUGUUAGGGAUGAAAGUCCUCUUUAAUUUAUCUUUUCAUUUUAGUUUGAUAUGUAACGUAGACCUAUGUCUUGUUAACAUUUAUUUUAUUGAAUAAUAUUCAUAAUUUAUAAAUAUAUUAUGAAAGGGAGGUGGACUUUUUAUUUAUAAACUAUAACAUCAAAUAAUUCCCGUCGAAAUUCGACGGGUUACACACUAGUUAUGGAAGAAAUAGUUGGGCUUCAAAAUCAAAAUAAACUUUG